This 386-nucleotide ribosomal RNA is filed under the name uncultured bacterium. Its description in RNAcentral is "bacterial SSU rRNA". It matches the Rfam family "Bacterial small subunit ribosomal RNA", at positions 30 to 416 of the family's 1533-position model. The record is from RNAcentral.
AUUGAACGCUGGCGGCAUGCCUUACACAUGCAAGUCGAACGGCAGCGCGGGGCAACCUGGCGGCGAGUGGCGAACGGGUGAGUAAUAUAUCGGAACAUACCCUAGAGUGGGGAUAACGUAGCGAAAGUUACGCUAAUACCGCAUACGCACUAAGGUGGAAAGUGGGGGAUUCGCAAGAACCUCAUGCUCAUGGAGUGGCCGAUAUCUGAUUAGCUAGUUGGUGAGGUAAAGGCUCACCAAGGCGACGAUCAGUAGCUGGUUUGAGAGAACGACCAGCCACACUGGAACUGAGACACGGUCCAGACUCCUACGGGAGGCAGCAGUGGGGAAUAUUGGACAAUGGGGGGCAACCCUGAUCCAGCAAUGCCGCGUGAGUGAUGAAGGCC